This 468-nucleotide ribosomal RNA is filed under the name uncultured bacterium. RNAcentral's name for it is "partial 16S ribosomal RNA". It matches the Rfam family "Bacterial small subunit ribosomal RNA", at positions 28 to 507 of the family's 1533-position model. The record is from RNAcentral.
GACGAACGCUGGCGGCGUGCUUAACACAUGCAAGUCGAACGGAAAGGCCCUGCUUUUGUGGGGUGCUCGAGUGGCGAACGGGUGAGUAACAAGUGAGUAACCUGCCCUUGACUUUGGGAUAACUUCAGGAAACUGGGGCUAAUACCGGAUAGGAGCUCCUGCUGCAUGGUGGGGGUUGGAAAGUUUCGGCGGUUGGGGAUGGACUCGCGGCUUAUCAGCUUGUUGGUGGGGUAGUGGCUUACCAAGGCUUUGACGGGUAGCCGGCCUGAGAGGGUGACCGGCCACAUUGGGACUGCGAUACGGCCCAGACUCCUACGGGAGGCAGCAGUGGGGAAUAUUGCACAAUGGGCGGAAGCCUGAUGCAGCAACGCCGCGUGCGGGAUGACGGCCUUCGGGUUGUAAACCGCUUUCGCCUGUGACGAAGCGUGAGUGACGGUAAUGGGUAAAGAAGCACCGGCUAACUACGUG